GACGAACGCUGGCGGCGUGCUUAACACAUGCAAGUCGAACGGAAAGGCCCUGCUUUUGUGGGUUGCUCGAGUGGCGAACGGGUGAGUAACACGUGAGUAACCUGCCCUUGACUUUGGGAUAACUUCAGGAAACUGGGGCUAAUACCGGAUAUGAGCUCCUGCUGCAUGGUGUGGUUUGGAAAGUUUCGGCGGUUGGGGAUGGACUCGCGGCUUAUCAGCUUGUUGGUGGGGUAGUGGCUUACCAAGGCUUUGACGGGUAGCCGGCCUGAGAGGGUGACCGGCCACAUGGGGACUGAGAGACGGACCAGACUGCUACGGGAGGCAGCAGGGGGGAAUAUUGCACAAUGGGCGGAAGCCUGAUGCAGCAACGCCGCGUGCGGGAUGACGGCCUUCGGGUUGUAAACAGAUUUCGACUGUGACGAAGAGUGAGUGACGGUAAUGGGUAAAGAAGCACCGGCUAACUACGUG
RNAcentral lists this ribosomal RNA (468 nucleotides) under uncultured bacterium. RNAcentral describes it as "partial 16S ribosomal RNA". It matches the Rfam family "Bacterial small subunit ribosomal RNA", at positions 28 to 507 of the family's 1533-position model. The record is from RNAcentral.